Long non-coding RNA from Solanum stenotomum, 202 nucleotides. RefSeq lists it as uncharacterized. The record is from RefSeq and is a predicted model, not a curated record. The transcript has 3 exons. NCBI's taxonomy places the organism in Eukaryota, Viridiplantae, Streptophyta, Magnoliopsida, Solanales, Solanaceae.
GGCGAAGAUUGAUAGAAACGUCGAUUGUUAGAUUGGAUAUACAAACUAACCAAGUGACGAUGAGCAAUGGCAUUGUCAAUGUUACAUUAUCAAUACCAUAUGGUCUCGUUACGAGCAUAUCAUAUGGUGGAGUCAAUAACUUACUCGCGACUCAAAAUGUUGAAAAAAAUAGAGGGUAUUGGGAUAUUUUUUGGAAUCAUAC